RNAcentral lists this transfer RNA (77 nucleotides) under Candidatus Woesearchaeota archaeon CG1_02_47_18. Its description in RNAcentral is "tRNA-Asp". The record is from RNAcentral. RNAcentral also lists the same sequence under 2 other names. Lineage: Archaea; Nanobdellati; Candidatus Woesearchaeota.
GCCCUGGUUGUGUAGUUCGGCCUAUCAUGAAGCCCUGUCGAGGCUUCGACCCGGGUUCAAAGAACACGUUAACUGCU